GGAUUAUUACAACUCAAGGUGAGAUUUGAGUGGGGAUACAGCCAAACCAUAUCAGGUAGACUUUUAAAGUCACCUCAAAAAAUAUAAUGAUAUGCAGUAUGUUUAUGGCUUCCUCUUCCCCACCAUUCCUUUUCCCCCUCCUGUGGGAUGUCAGGGACUUCUGCUUGUUUUGUGGGGAGGAGGACAAGGGUUGUCCUAAACUAUUGACACAGGCAGUUUGGAUGGGACUUAGCAGUCUCAGGACCCACUGGGCCUCCCUCUGCAAUGUGACUACCAGUAGUGCCCAGCCAACUAUUGAUGGGCAGAUUUAUCCCAUAGAGAUGCGAACAGCAUCUGCUCAGAUGUCAGAUCUGCUGCGGAAAAGAUGAGAAAUGGGCUGCAUAUGUGGGCAUCAUUUUUGCACAGUUCCCUGGUACUCAACGCCCAGAGAGCUGGCAGCCUCUCAUGCAGACCCCUCCUCCCUAUGGCCAGGCCUCCAUCUGCACCAUCCCCACCCCCAUGGUGGAGGAGAAGGAGUGACCCCUGUGGCAGGGAGAAGGUGAAAGUCACCUGCCCAUCCCUCUCCCGAUGUUCUCUUCUGAGACCUCUUUAUUUCCCUAGACCUUUGCCUGUUGGUUCUCAAAAGCAUCAUUUGGAAGUAAGAGGUAAACCCAACUGAAUAUUAACUAUCAUUUUUAUUUUUUUAUUUAUACAAGUUUAUGGGGCACGUGUGAAACUUUGUUACAUGUAUUUAAUGUGUAGUGAUCAAGUCAGAGAAUUUAUUGCGUCCAUCAUCUGAGUACAAUACAUUUUUGUCAACUAUAAUCACCCUACUCUGUUAUCAUGCAUUUAAUUUAUUCCUUCUGUCUUAUUACAUAUUUGUACCCUUUAACCCACUUUUCUUCAUGGCCAAAUAGUAUUUCAUUGUGUAUAUAUGACACAUUUUCUUUAUCCGUUCAUCUGUUGAUGGACACUUGGGUUGAUUCCAUAUCAUUGCUAUUGUGAAUAGUGCUGCAGUAAACGUGGGAGUGCAGGUAUUCCUUUGAUAUAUUGAUUUCUUUUCCUUUGGGUAGAUACCCAGUAAUGGGAUUGCUGGAUUGAAUGGUAGUUCUAUUUUUAGUUUUUUGAGAAGUCUCCAUACUGUUUCUUAUAGUGGCUGUACUAGUUUACAUUGCCACCAUAGUGUAUAAGAGUUCUCUUUUCUCUGCAUCCUUGCCAAGAUCUGUUAUUUGCUGUCUUUUUAAUGAUAGCCAUUCUGACUAUGGUAAGAUGAUAUCUCAUUGUGGUUUUGAUUUGCAUUUUUCUGAUGAUUAGUGAUAGUGAGCAUUUUUUCAUAUACCUGUUGGUCAUUCGUAUGUCUCCUUUUGAGAAAUAUCUAUUCACAUUCUUUGCCUACUUUUUAAUGGGAUUGUUUUUUCUUUUUCCUCUUGAGUUGUUUUAGUUCCUUGCAUAUUCUAGAUAUUAGUUCCCUGUCAGAUGAAUGGCUUGCAAAUAUUUUCUCUCAUCUACAGAUUGUCUCUUCAGUAUGUUAAUUAUUUCUUUUGCUGUGCGGAAGCCUUUUAGUUUAAUUAAGUCCCAUUUGUCUAUUUUUGUUUUUGUUUUUGUUGCCUGUGUUCUCUUUAUAUUUCUGCUAAGAGAAUCAUAAUUCUCCUGGGCAAUGUAUAGGCCUCUGACUCCCCUGACUGUACAGGGGAGAAGUGAUAGAGGAAGAAAAGCACAAUAACUGAUCUAGGUUUGUAUGGGUGAAAUAUACGCAUAUAUGUGUACUUAAAGUAUAUAGAGAGAGACUAUUUAGAUGUUUGAAUUUCUCUUAUAGCUAUCUAUAUGUGUAUAUGUGUGUCUGUAGCUCCCAGAUCUGAUCAUAUCAUGCCCAGCCUUAAAAGCCUUCCAUAGUUCCUUCUUGCUUACUAUAGGAUAAAGUCCAAACUUUCCUUGGCAUGGCCUCCAUGCCCUCUGUCCUCUCCACCCUCCAGCACCAAGCUUCCCUCCAAUCAGCCACCUCCCUUCCCCCACCCUCAGGCUCCCAUCAUGAGCACCACUCCCUGGCCUUCCCAUGAACCCUGCCCUUUCCCAGCUCUCAGCUCUACAGAGGCUGCUCACUCUGACUGCACGCCUCCCCCACUUCUUCUCCAUAGUUGCCUGCCUGCCUUGGAAAGUUCUAUUCAUUCAUCUCAAAUGAACGUUCACUGUCCCUUCUGAGCUAAGCUAUGCCUUCUUGAAAUGGCAGUGCCUAGCACAGUGCAACCUACCAAAAAAUGCCAAGCGAAUUCUCAAGGACCCAAGGCUGAGUCAGGAGUGCCCUCCUUCCCGGCUGCCCGCAGAGCUCCUGGCUCACUAUCCCUCCACAAGAGCUCAGCCCAGGUGUGUGCUGUUCAUGGCAUGCCUGCCUCUCUCAUGACAGCCCUCAAGGCACCACUCGUGUCUCUCUCCUCCAGAAGGGCAUUUUCAGCACCCUGUGCAGGGCCUGACACAUGGUUGCUACCUAGUGUAUGUUUGAAUGAAUUAUAGAUCGCUAGCAUGGGACAGAUACGCUGGAAGCAGAGAAACUGAAAGCAAAAUGUUGGAGGUAUUGCCCAAGAAGCAAUAAUCAGGACCAGUGACAAAGCCUCCCCCACACGUGAGGACUAGUUCACUGAGGAAAAUGAAAUUUUUUUGCAAUGACUUGAACAUCACCACAGCUCUUGAGGAAGGCCAAGGUUGUUUGUUUUUGGGUCCUCCCCCGUUGCUGUGGAUGAUGUGUGGUUAUGAUGGUGCAGCCAAGACAGUGGCAGCAGGCAUGGAGGCCAGCCUGAGGGAAACCUCCAGAAUGCCCUGCCUCCCAAACCUGAGCAGAGCCCAUCUGCUUCCCCUCUACACAUCUGUUGCAGCAGGAAAUCCAAAGCCAUGUUUCUGAUUUGCCACUUCUGUUAGCCAUUAGACUCUUGGCUGGUUUCUGGUCUUCCUGACUGUCAGAUCUGGCUUCGGGCCUGGUGACCCGGCAUAUCCCUUUAAGAUUGCAACAGGGUCAACGGCUAUUGUCAUUGACUACUCUCUUUAUUAUCAUAUUUCCAAGGACUUCCUAUUCCUUCUUCCCUUGUAUGAAAUUUCUAACAUCCAUCGGUACAAAACCCAGGAGGGCAGGUAUUUUGGCCUGUUUUAUCUACUGUCAUAGCCCAAUGGCUGUGAUGAACAAUAGCAGGUACAGUGGAUGCCUUUGACGCAGGGCAGGCAAGCUCCAAAGUGGAGCUUAGCCCACUGGGUUCUUGGCUUUGCCCAGUGAAGAAUUCAAGGGCAAGCUGGAGACAGAAGAAAACAGCUUUAUUAUUAUUAUCAUUAUUUUACUAUUAUUAUUAUUAUUUGAGAUGGAGUCUCGCUCUGUUGCCCAGGCUGGAGUGCAGUGGUGCAAUCUCAGCUCACUGCAACCUCCGCCUCCCGGGUUCAAGAGGUGUUACAGUUCCAUGACUGCUCCUGUAGAGCAGGACUACUGUGUAGGGAGAGAGUAGCCGUUCAGGGCCAUUCUGCAGUCAUAUUUACACGCACUUUAAUUGCAUGCAGAUAAAGGAACAGUUUAUGCAGCAAUUUCUAGGGAAGGGAUAGUAACUUUUGGGUCAUUGGGUCAUUGCCAUGGAAAAGGGUGGUAACGCCCACAUGUUGCUAUGGCAACGGUGAAUUGACCCGGCACACUAGUGGGCGUGUCUGAUUGAAAGCGGCUUUCUCUGGGGCCGUUUUAGCUAGUCCUCAAUCUGGUCCCGUGUCCAAGUGUCCAAGCCAUGCCUCUGGAGUUGAGUGCCACCUCCUACCUCACCUUGUUGAAUAGAAAAUGAAUGAGUGACAGUAUGAAUGAAUGGACACCUGUUAAAAGAGCCAUCUAUUACAGCUAAAUGAAUGAAGGGCAUAGACAGUCCUUUGGUUGUUUUUCCAACUAGAAAUCUCUCCCUGUGUUCUGUGAUGGCCUAAGUCUGGCCCUGCUCAAGUGAGGGACUUCCUCGAUGGGCUGGUCUCAUUCUUGUGCCCUCCAGGACAGCAGGGCAGAGGGAGAGGGAAAUGGGAGGGGCUGAGGGACAACGUGGCUCUUCUGGGAGCCUCUUUACCCUGUGAAAUUUCCUCUGGCAGCUUUCCCCCUUGGCCUGCAGCCUGUGCCGGCCCCUGCCCCCAACUCAUUGGCUUUGGUUACAGGGACAGGCCCAGAGUCAAGAACAAUAAAGGGAGGAGGGGCCUGCUUCACAGGGUCAGGGGUCAGGGAGGGGGUUUGAAGGGUGAGGAGAUUGGCUCUGUGUAGCAUCCGGUUUCAAACAACUCUGUUUAGAAAUAGAAGAGAAGCCCUCCGGAAAAUGGAAGGGCUCUGGCAGGCCUCCCAGCUGGCCAAGGAACAGCAAGUUCCUGCCAAUAUGUGACGGAAGUGGGGGAUUUGUGGGGAGGGAGGAGGGAAGAGGGCACUGGAGGGAGUAGACACAACCUAGCAACAUUUUCCCUGCUAAAAACCUUGCUCUGAAGUAAACAUGGAGGGUUCUUAUUCUUCCUGGCUGUGUGCACUCGGGCCAGCCUACUUCCUGUGGGCGCAAUUAUUCCCAGGGGUGUGUGUUUUCGUUUUUAAAGACAGAGAAUUAUAAGCUAUUCAUGGUCACUGCCUGAGAAUUCUUUGGAAUAAUGAGAUAGAAAAAUCAUCUCUACUGUUCACAUUUCUGAGGAAGAACAAGCCUUCUAGACUCUCUCCUAGGAUGGGGCUGGGAAACUCACUUUUUCUCCUGCUAAGCUCCUUCUCAGUCCAUUAGAGCCAGAGGGCCAAUAGGGGCCUCUUCGUGCUUUGUAGGCUAGAGGGUGUAAAGAACCUAGAUGUGCAGGAAAUCUGCUCUGGCUGAUCAGGCAGGUGAACUCGGGGAGGGAGAGCUCUAAGGGAGGACCAAAUGAGACAGUGGAGAUGGCGGCUCGGCUUCAGCUCACCCCUGCUGGAGCAUUCUUAGUGAUCACAAAACCCACACUACUGCCUCGCUGAUACCAUAAUGUGCAACCAUGCCUUUUACUUUACAAAUUUCAGGCACUGGCCUUUGGAGAUAACAAGGUUGUGAAGUGUCCCACUUCGGGAAGGAAUGCUAACAAUUGAGUUACCGCCUUGUUGCCACUGACCAGAGCAUCAGGUGGUCCAUUACUCAAGAUAACCGUGGCAACCAGAUAUGCUGACCCUCAUCCCCUACCCUCAGGUGCUUUGCCCAGCCCACCCUGUAUACCUCAUGCCCCAUGUUAAUUCCUGCGCUUUGCCUAAUAAAAAAGCAGGGCUCUUUUGGGGGAGUAAGUCAGGGAAUUCUCUCUCUGUCUCUGUCUCUGUCUCUCUCUCUCUCUCUCUCGCUGCCUCUUUUAUGUCCAGGCAUAAGCUCCAGUGAAGCCUUGUUUGGAAAAACUCUUUGGGCCUUGUGUGAAUUUCUAUUGCAUUGAGAGCCCAAGAAUCAUGGUUGGUAAUGUGAGGGGCCUUAUUGAGGGGGGGCAAGUCAUUCCACAUUUUCCAAAUGAGACCGAAGUGGAUACACAGACUAACAAUAACUGCAGUGACUCAUUCUCCUUUCCAGAACCUCAACUCACAGCUGUCCCCAGUGGCUUUGUGGCAUUUCACAACAGUUUUGACUUUAGAACCUCUCUCACCUUGGCCCCCACUCCAGAGCCAAAGGAACCCCCACAUCUCAGGAAGUAGGUUAUGAAUCUGGGAUACCCUGGAAGCCCAGAUGCAAAACCCAUAUUAGGGAGGAGGAAAUGGGGAAAAUGAAUGUUUUUUAAAGCCACCUUCUACACAAGCCUCCCCAAGAAGGGUGGAUCAUCUUUGCUGCUAUAGGAACUCUUAUUCAUUGCUGGUGGAGGGUCCAAAGAGAUAAUGUUAAAGUAUUGAUUUGAGCUGAAGGAGUGAAUUAUGCUAAUAAUUAGAUUAUUAAUCCUUUUACAAAUCUAACACUAUCCAAUUAUUUUAACAAAGAUGAAGGAGAAACUAAUGAGUGUUCCAUAAUAUCAGUAUUGGACAACGUAGCUUUAGAGCUUUAUGGUCACAGAAAAGGAAAAAAAAUUGAAUUUGUAUACAUUUUAAGAGAAAUGAUAAGGCGAUUAAUAAAUGACUUUGAUCAUAAAUGUAUAUUAUAUCAGGAUAAAGUUCUUUAGGGAAAGAGGAGUGGAAAUACAAACUCAAGGAGAAAAAAGGAAUAAUGUAAAAUUUCUGACUGUUAAAGAAGAGCUUGUUCGUGAUUUUUUUUAAAAAAAUGGAACAUAUUAAAUUGCUAAAACAUUCCAAUUCUAUUUUGAUACAUUUAAAUAGUGGCUUAUAGUUAUUCCAAAAUGUUUAACUGUUAAAAUGUUAAAAGAUUUCAAAUUUACAGUAAAAUGUAACAUUUUUCAGCUAUUUAAACUCAAAAUGAGAUUUAAAAUACCAACACAAAAAUUUUAAGGCAUCCCUUCAGAGUAGAGGAGGAAAAAAAAACUGUCAAAGGGGAUAUAUAAUGUUCCAACAUUAUUUUAGGGGACAUGCAAUGCAAGCAAAAUACUUGAAGACUCCUGAGCUGGACAGCAUUUGUGUUCUUUUCAACUCUUUGGAUUUUGUGGAUGGGGUCUAAGAGGUUACUCUGGUGAGUGGGCACUGCAAAGAGCAGGACACCUAUCUCCAAAUGUAAAGGUUCACUUACAACCAAGUCUCCAAACAAAACAAAGUAGAAACAAGCCAACAAAUAAAACCCACCAUCUCCUUCUCUUAUACACACACACACACACACACACACAGAGCAGACCCCCCAAGCCCCCCAGUAGUUGUUCCAGUAUAGGCCGUUCAUCAACCUGUGAAAACAUGAGCUUCGUUAGCAACAGGGCAUGGUCUGAUCCCUGGGAAAUCUCUGGAGCUGGGAGUGGCCUCAAAGAGGAUCAUUAAAGAUCAAAAACCCCACUUGAAGUUGUUUGUUCUGCUGCAGUGUAAAUCCUCUUGGCUGAGCAGCCCUUGACAGAGUCUGCUGCCUAAACAGAAGUCUUAGACGGGUGUUUGGUUUGUUUUCUGUGGAAAUCAAGGCAAAGGUCUGAGUUCCACAUCUGAGUGCAGACCCAGGACAGUGUACACGGGAUGGCAAAGUGACUCAAACUGAAAGAACUCAGUGGAAGCAGAAACUAGGAGCCAGAGGUGAGAACAUAAGCCUCCCCACCCCCAAAUGGAGAAUAUGGAGACAUCCUGGGGACAGUGGCCUUUCCAGGCACGUAGAGGGUUCAUGAGCUUGCAUUUUGUCAUGCAUGAGGAGCCCAGCUUGCUUAUAUUCAGCUCUGCGUGGAUUCCUCGUGCUGUUGUCCUACUCCAGGUGUCAGGAAUAGCUCAGCCCUUCCCAGAGGCAGCAAGAGAGCAAGAAGGACAGAGGAGACUGAGCUGGCAGGUCUCUAAAUGACCUCAAGUCACCACAGCCACUGGUGCUGAAGGAAAUGGGAAAAUAGUCUCGUGACCCAGCGAGUGCUUCCCAUGCAGGUGAGCGCUGACAGUGGGAGACAGGGGUGUAUCAUCCUGGCAAGAGAGCAGAGGGGAGAGGAGAGGACUCCUCAUGCUGUGGGAGCUGGAAUCCUGGCUUGGCUGCCCUGAGUCAGCCUUCAAUAGCCAGAGCCAGACCUCCCCUUCCUAGCAGGGCCCUGCCCAGAUCAGGUGGCCGGGAGGGGCUGUUGCUCAGCCCUAAUCCUGGGAUCAACCCCAGGAAGUGGUAGCAGGACCCAGGUGGCCUUGGACCAUUUCAAAGACUGGCAUCAGAUGUUUAUCAGCUAGUAUUUGUACAAGGCCCAGGCUGAGGAUGCAUAAGAGACUGUGAAAAAUGUCAGGAAAGCGAAAACAGCUUUCUGUAAAUAGGGCUCAGACCCUGGGCAAGGUGCUAUGUCUCCCCUUGGGGCUUUGGUGAAGGAAAACGCAAACAUUAAUCCAGAGUGAGAGAAAGAAACAGACACCACCUUGUAGGAAGAUGGAGGACUGACUCCAGGAAACUCCAAGAGACGGGAUGCAAAGAGAGGCAGGGUCUGUGUUUUACUUUUUCUUUGAAUGUUCUGCAGUCUGUCAUCUCUGGAGGCCUCAGAACCUGGUGUCACAUUACAGGGUGAAUGCCAGGGACAAGCUAAAGAGAGGAGAAGGUAUGACAUAGCUCCACCUACAUGCAAGGGGAGCCAGGAAGUGCAAUCCCUGGCUGGGCUGCCACGUCUCAGAAACCAUUAAGCCUAUGGAAGGUCUCUGGAUUUGAUGGCAAAUGGCAGCAGAAAUGUGGAAAAGAUCAAAGUGAUGUCAAGGUUGAUCUCUGAGUUUGGCAUGGCUGAACUCAAACAUCAUUUGCCAUGGACCCACAGUGUCUUCAGUAGCUGAGUGUGGUGUCAUUCCCCUAUGAUAUGUGCACUCAAUUGCUGGCCAGUUUUUGUUUUUUGUUUUUGAGAGAGUCUCGCUUUGUCUCCUAGGCUGGAGUGCAGUGGCACGAUCUCGGCUCACUGCAACCUCCGCCUCCCGGGUUCAAGUGAUUUUCCUGCCUCAGCCUCCCGAGUAGCUGAGAUUACAGGCAUGUGCCAGCAGGCCCGGCUAAUUUUUUUUGUAAUUUUAGUAGAGACGGGGUUUUGCCAUGUUGGCCAGGCUGGUCUCGAGCUCCUGGCCUCAAGUGAUCCACCUGCCUCCACCUCCCAAAGUGCUGGGAUUACAGGUGUGAGCCACUGUACCUGGCCCCAAAGUUUUAGAAAUUGGAUCAUUUUAAAUGUUGGAGGGGAGUUCAUUGUUUAGGAUGGCUGUGUGGCAAAUCUUUUUUUAAAGUAAGUAAUUCUCCUCUAUUAUAAGUCACCUCCUGAUCUCUACAUUUAAGGUUUGCUGUCCUGGAUGUGUUCACCUAUGAAUGUAAGUGUGCUGAGAUACACAGUGCAAGGCUGAAGUCAGAGUACACCACUGAUGAACCCCUGGGAACUGGUAACCCAGCCAGGGAAUGAACAUCUUUUAUGAAUCAGUUUAUCCACCAAACACUUGCAGAGAGCCUAUCCCAUGCCACCCCUGAGGGCACGGUGAUGGAGAAGAUAUGCUUCCUGCCUCCAAGAACCCCAUAGUCUAGUGGCAGAGACAAGCAGGUACAUAGCUGCCUAUAGUACAGCAUCACAGGUGCCAUAACAUUGUGUAAACUGGGAAUAAUUCUAUUCUCUGGAUAUAGAACAUCUAACCAAGAUAUUGAGUAUCUGGCUUCCCCUUCCCCACACUGGCCCUCACUGGGAUCCAUGUCUAAUAUUAUGAAAGUCACACAAUAUCAUUAUAAACUAAUCAUAAAUGGCACUGUCAGUUUGCUACAAAAACUUAUUCAGAAAAUAUUCAGAUUCUCCCAUCAACAUAUGCCGCUAUGUUGGCAAAAGCUCUGAUUUAAAAUACUUAUUUCGUUUUCCUCUCCGAUUUUGUUCUAGUCUUCAAAAUGAUUUCAUACAACAUAGCACUGAGUUCCUUAGUUCCUCUGACCCCUGCCAGAUCUGAAGCUGUGAUGUUCAAAAGUCAGGGCAGAGUCCAUCUUAUGAUUGAGUUUCAUAAGAGUCUAAGCCACUGAUCAACAUACUGUGGCAGAGUAAGCUUUCUGGGUUCCAGAAUUUAUUGUGAGUGGGCUGAGGGAGUUGAGAAAUGGCAUGGGAGGCCUAAAGAGAAAAUAACUUUUGAAUGAAAAUUAUAGGAAAGUGGAUUUGAGAUCAAAACAAAGGAAGGUUGAUCAUAGUUGGAAUCAUUUAAGAUUGGUGGGGGUAGUGGGCUUCUGGUUCUUAACCCAGGCCAGGCAGAGGUGUGACAACAGUCAGGGGUUUCUAAACAGGGUGGGAGGUUAGAUGAGAAUAGCCUUCAACCCUUUGUGUUGAACUAAAAUCCUAGCUCUGCUUUCAACUCCUAGACUCUGCUUCAUCAUUGCUAAGUUGGAAAGAGCAAGCAAUUGAGAGUCCCUGCUGGCCACAGCUGGGGUGCCCCAGACCACAGCACUGAGCCUCAAAGGCAAGUGAGCAUAGUGUUGGGAGCUGGGCUUCUGGAUCCAUCAACUCCAUCUGAUGACUCGGAAGUUCCUUCAGUUCCCAACACUGGAGUCCAGCAAGGCUGGUUUGUCUUGUUUUAAUUAUUAUUUAGAUGACUGUUUGGCUCAUACCUGAGCAAGGUUCAAAUCAAGUCAGACCUGUUAAUUUAAUCAAAGUUAUAUAAUCACAUUUGGGCACUUAAAUGUAAACCAAUUAUGUUGGAAGCCAAGUAUCUUGUACUCAGGAGGGAGUUCUAAUAAGUGCUGGGAAUGUAUGCUAAUGCACAAAGCCUAACCCCCAGAGUGGAGGGUGGAGCACUCCAGGGCACUCCUGUUUCGGUGACGUUGUUUUAAUAGCUAGUGCUCUGGGUGCAGUCUGGGAAGAUAUUGGAAACAUCUCAAGCAAGUAUGACAUCCAUUUUACCCAAGCCCAUGGAACCCAUUAUGUUUGGAACAUGUCUGUCUGUGGCAUUUGGCUUGGCUUAUAAAUGCACUAUCAGAAUCUAUAGGAGGCCUUCGCAACAAGACGUGUCUUGGCCUUUCUGGUUAUCAGCAAUCCCUCCACCUCUCUCUUAACAAACAUAUGCCAUAAGUCCUGAUCAGGCAUUUAGUUUUUUCACUUGGACCUUUUCCUAGUUCCUAGUCUCAACCCCAAUGCCUCCUAAUCUUGUACUUCUUCAAAUACUGGCCCCCCUCUACUAUGAGAGAGAGAGGAAAGUAGGGAGGAGAAGGAGGAAAAGUUAUUGAGUUGAUAUGAGGGUAGUCAACCUAAAGCAACAAUCAGGAGUAAGGUACUGGACUUGAGUUUGAAGUGUUUGUCACUAAACUCUCUCAAACUCUUCCAGGCUAACUAGCCUCAGAGGGCUUCUAGCCCAUAGUCUCCUUGUAUUUUCUGCCCUCCUCACUUGGAGUGGGAGGGAACCAGAUGUCCAGUCUUUGUCCCGUGUUAAGAACUGGCCUGGCAGGCUUUGUUGAGACCAUCCAGACUUGAAAGCCUCACAACCAGAUGCCAUCACAGGCACUUUCUGCUCUUAACCUUUGUCUGUGUCUCCUACAUGAACUCAUCAGACUGCCUCUGAAGAGGGACAUUCUAGGGACAGUUUCAUCUUCAUCACCAUCCUGGAUAGGGAACCCUUCCAGACUCAGAGUUGCAAAAGUCAGGGAGGGGCUGCUCACUGGAGGUGGAGUCCUUUGGCCAGGUUUCACUGUAAACACAUGGCUAAAAUGUGUCGCACAUGGACAGGCAUGCUAGUGUGCUCUGGAUACAUGCUAGUGUGCCCCAGAUAUAUGCUAGUGUGCCCCGUAUAGCUUCUGGCUAAAGGACACACCUCAGCAAGGCCAAAUGAGGCAUCAGGAUGAACUCUUCAAAUAGACUUCAUUAGACCCACAGAAGACUAACCUUUGCCUGACUUUGGAUUACCCCUUUCUUGCCAGGAAUUAUGUUCAAUGACUAUAUCUGGAACUAGAGGUCUUGAUAGCCACACUUUGCUUGGUGUGGCUUCUCAGUCUUUUAAGGACAUGGCUAUCAAGGGCUCAUGUUUAUUCCAGGUCAGCCCUUUACCCCUUUCCUCCAGGGGCAUCUAUGGCAACAAAAGACCAUGACAUCUGGCAGGGCUGGCAGGACUAUUUAGUUUAGGCAGGAAUGUGGGUGUUAGCAUGUCAGAGUACAUCUGAGAAAACAUUCCAAACCAACCUUUCCACACUGGGAACUCAACCCCCAGGAAUCACCAAAGAUAAGGGCAACAGUCUUAUCUCUCGAGGGAAGUUCAGGGUAAAGUCCACUCCUGCUGUGGACCAGAGCUCAGGGAAGAAGAAAGCUCAGGCUGGCUCUGCCUGUCCACUUGAUGAACUUCCACAAAUGCCACUCUGGGAGCUGAGGCAUAUGAAGUGGGGAAGAAAAUACCAGCCCUGCCCUGGAGCUCUGGGAUGGUGGCUGUACACCCCUAAAGAUGCCAGCAGAUCUGAACUGUGGCCUAUGUGUGUUUGGGAAUUGAGAAAUAAGGAGAUAGAGGGACAGCAGGCAGGAAAAACUACAAUUAGUCUCAGCUCACACAGAUUUGGGAGUAUGCAGAUCUGAAUUGUGGCCUCCAUGUGUUUGGCUGAAGGAUAAUGAUCUCAGGCCCAGACUUUUUUUUUUUUUUGUAUCACUCGCUCAGGGGGCUCUGACCAGGAGCUUCUUUCAGAUGACACAGAUCCCGAGGAGCCACUUGCCUUCUACCCAUGACACUUCUAAGAGUGACUCUUGCCAUGUGACCAUAGAGAUAAGUGAAGUUUUCUCCAAUGACAUCAUUAAGAAGUCUAAACUUCCCCAAAGGGAGAGGCUGUGACUAGGAACACAAAUGUCUCAGUGUAUCACACUCAUGCUCCCAGAUCUGUGGGCAGAAAAAGAAAUCAUAGAAUGGUGCAUAUCCUAAAAAUAAAAAGGAAAUUGCUUUUCAAGUUAUGAAAUUUGGCCCUUCUCAUUGUGAGUUUAAAGUACAUGUUACUGCUUCAGUUUCUAAAACAGGAGGUGGCCAAAUUCAGAGUUUAAAAUGUCUAAGUGGUUAUUUGAAAACAGAUAUUUAGAGGCAACUGAGAGAAGAAUACUGGGGCCAUGGGUCUGCAGUCACUUUCCCAGCAGUGCUCUGAGGCCUUGGGUCUCAUAAAAGGUAAUCAUAGUUACGCCUUUUAAAGAAAGCUGAGUCUAACUGUAGCUUUUCCUGCCUGUUGUCCCUCUAUCUCCUUACUUCCCAAUUCUAUCUAUCUUUCAAAACCCAGCUCAAAUCCCACCUCCUUCCAUAAGUCUUCCAUUGUUUAAUAUAGUUGGAAUUUACCUCUCCCUCCUCUAACUCCCAUGGCAUUUUAUUUACACCUCUCUGAUGGCCACUUUCUACUUUCUAUAAGGUAAGUUAUAUACUUGUUUUAUAUCAAUAAAUUUCAAAAUAUUGAAAUCUUA
Molecule: non-coding RNA, 12876 nt
Organism: Homo sapiens (human)
Lineage: Eukaryota; Metazoa; Chordata; Mammalia; Primates; Hominidae
Source: RefSeq, a predicted model, not a curated record